UGUAGUCAUAUGCUUGUCUCAAAGAUUAAGCCAUGCAUGUCUAAGUAUAAGCAAUUAUACCGUGAAACUGCGAAUGGCUCAUUAAAUCAGUUAUCGUUUAUUUGAUAAUACCUUACUACUUGGAUAACCGUGGUAAUUCUAGAGCUAAUACAUGCUGAAAAUCCCGACUUCGGAAGGGAUGUGUUUAUUAGAUAAAAAACCAAUGCCCUUCGGGGCUUUUUGGUGAUUCAUGAUAACUUUACGGAUCGCAUAGCCUUGCGCUGGCGACGGUUCAUUCAAAUUUCUGCCCUAUCAACUUUCGAUGGUAAGGUAUUGGCUUACCAUGGUUUCAACGGGUAACGGGGAAUUAGGGUUCGAUUCCGGAGAGGGAGCCUGAGAAACGGCUACCACAUCCAAGGAAGGCAGCAGGCGCGCAAAUUACCCAAUCCCGACACGGGGAGGUAGUGACAAUAAAUACUGAUACAGGGCUCUUUUGGGUCUUGUAAUUGGAAUGAGUACAAUUUAAACCUCUUAACGAGGAACAAUUGGAGGGCAAGUCUGGUGCCAGCAGCCGCGGUAAUUCCAGCUCCAAUUAGCGUAUAUUAAAGUUGUUGCAGUUAAAAAGCUCGUAGUUGAAACUUGGGCCUGGCUGGCGGGUCCGCCUCACCGCGUGCACUCGUCCGGCCGGGCCUUCCUUCUGAAGAACCUCAUGCCCUUCACUGGGCGUGUUGGGGAAUCAGGACUUUUACUUUGAAAAAAUUAGAGUGUUCAAAGCAGGCCUUUGCUCGAAUACGUUAGCAUGGAAUAAUAAAAUAGGGCGUGCGUUUCUAUUUUGUUGGUUUCUAGAGACGCCGCAAUGAUUAACAGGAACAGUCGGGGGCAUCAGUAUUCAGUUGUCAGAGGUGAAAUUCUUGGAUUUACUGAAGACUAACUACUGCGAAAGCAUUUGCCAAGGAUGUUUUCAUUAAUCAGUGAACGAAAGUUAGGGGAUCGAAGACGAUCAGAUACCGUCGUAGUCUUAACCGUAAACUAUGCCGACUAGGGAUCGGGCGAUGUUCUUUUUCUGACUCGCUCGGCACCUUACGAGAAAUCAAAGUUUUUGGGUUCUGGGGGGAUUAUGGUCGCAAGGCUGAAACUUAAAGAAAUUGACGGAAGGUCACCACCAGGCGUGGAGCCUGCGGCUUAAUUUGACUCAACACGGGGAAACUCACCAGGUCCAGAUGAAAUAAGGAUUGACAGAUUGAGAGCUCUUUCUUGAUUUUUCAGGUGGUGGUGCAUGGCCGUUCUUAGUUCGUGGGGUGACUUGUCUGCUUAAUUGCGAUAACGAGCGAGACCUUACUCUGCUAAAUAGCCAGGCUAGCUUUGGCUGGUCGCCGGCUUCUUAGAGAGACUAUCAACUCAAGUUGAUGGAAGUUUGAGGCAAUAACAGGUCUGUGAUGCCCUUAGAUGUUCUGGGCCGCACGCGCGCUACACUGACAGAGCCAACGAGUUCUUCACCUUGGCCGAAAGGUCUGGGUAAUCUUGUUAAACUCUGUCGUGCUGGGGAUAAAGCAUUGCAAUUAUUGCUUUUCAACGAGGAAUGCCUAGUAAGCGCGUGUCAUCAGCAUGCGUUGAUUACGUCCCUGACCUUUGUACACACCGCCCGUCGCUACUACCGAUUGAAUGGCUCAGUGAGGCGUUCGGACUGGCUCGGGGAGGUUGGCAACGACCACCCCAAGCCGGAAAGUUCGUCAAACUCGGUCAUUUAGAGGAAGUAAAAGUCGUAACAAGGUCUCCGUAGGUGAACCUGCGGAA
This 1773-nucleotide ribosomal RNA is filed under the name Stemphylium vesicarium. RNAcentral's name for it is "SSU rRNA". It matches the Rfam family "Eukaryotic small subunit ribosomal RNA". The record is from RNAcentral. Lineage: Eukaryota; Fungi; Ascomycota; Dothideomycetes; Pleosporales; Pleosporaceae.